AUUGAACGCUGGCGGUAUGCUUAACACAUGCAAGUCGAACGGCAGCAUGGUCUAGCUUGCUAGACUGAUGGCGAGUGGCGGACGGGUGAGUAACGCGUAGGAAUAUGCCUUGAAGAGUGGGACAACUUGGGGAAACUCAAGCUAAUACCGCAUGUAGUCGAGAGAGUAAAGCUGGGGACCUUUAGUACUGGCGCUUUAAGAUGAGCCUGCGUCCGAUUAGCUAGUAGGUAGGGUAAAGGCCUACCAAGGCGACGAUCGGUAGCUGGUCUGAGAGGAUGAUCAGGCACACUGGAACUGAGAGACGGUCCAGACUCCUACGGGAGGCAGCAGUGGGGAAUAUUGGACAAUGGGGGGAACCCUGAUCCAGCAAUGACGCGUGUGUGAAGAAGGCCUGAGGGUUGUAAAGCACUUUCAGUGGGGAGGAGGUUUGGAAGGUUAAGAGCUAUUCAAAUGGACGUUACCCACAGAAGAAGCACCGGCUAACUCCGUGCCAGCAGCCGCCGUAA
RNAcentral lists this ribosomal RNA (506 nucleotides) under uncultured bacterium. RNAcentral's name for it is "partial 16S ribosomal RNA". It matches the Rfam family "Bacterial small subunit ribosomal RNA", at positions 30 to 523 of the family's 1533-position model. The record is from RNAcentral.